UAAAAUCAGGCAUAAAAUUUUCUCAACUCAUAAAUAAAAAGAUAAUACACUUCAGUGCACUUAAAUCCACGUACUCCUGUAUUGACAAUAAUGGUCAUGCCACUUAAGUUAAGACUCAAUUGACUAUGGCCUUUCAAUUUAUAUAUAUAUAUAUUCAAAUUUUUAGAUAUAUAUUUUUUUUACAAUUGUUUUUUUUAAAUAAAGGUUUAUAAUAUCAUUAACCACCAAAGGGUACACAUAAAAAGGCCCCAAAGCCUUGAAAAGUAAUACAACAAAGAACAUGGGCUAGCCAGGCCCAACCCAAACCUGAAAUAAGCAAACCUUAGCCACCUAAACUUCCGGCCGCCAUUGCUUGUAACGGGGGAGGGAAAGGGAUGGCUGGAGGGAGUAGACCCAAAAGGGCUGACCAACAUAUGACUGGCAAAUCCACUGCUGAGGAGGGGCCAAAGCCUAGGACUACCGUCGCCUCCGUUGAGCAUAUCGGGGACACCGACGGCUGUAGAUCCAACGCUUUCGAGAGGGCAUUAGCAACCGACCGGCGAGGGCAUCGUGUAACUCGAUCGACAUCACCAUGUGCGAGCCGUCAAGGCCGAAUAGCGACGGUGUACCGCCGUGCGCAGUGAACUUGCUGGAGUGUUCAAAACAAAUGCCGAGAAAACUGAAACUAGUCCAGCGGUGGGAAAAGAGGCAGAACCCUUGGGGUGAAGUAAGCCGCCGCCUUUUUUCAAAUACUUUUUUCCCCUGUAAUAAAAAAAUUCAAAUUACAUUUAAUAAUUUAUCUAGUGGCUGAAUAGAUCGUACCAUCGGUUUUCAGUCUAUCAGUUUAAUUAGUUUGUCUAGUUUAAUUAAAUAAGUUUAUAAUUUUUUAAAAAUUAAUAAAAAUAGAAAAAAUUGAUUCAA
This 900-nucleotide long non-coding RNA is filed under the name Gossypium barbadense (sea-island cotton). Its description in RNAcentral is "long non-coding RNA (GBAR_LNC004879)". Lineage: Eukaryota; Viridiplantae; Streptophyta; Magnoliopsida; Malvales; Malvaceae. The record is from RNAcentral.